RNAcentral lists this unclassified non-coding RNA (427 nucleotides) under Hevea brasiliensis (rubber tree). The record is from RNAcentral. Lineage: Eukaryota; Viridiplantae; Streptophyta; Magnoliopsida; Malpighiales; Euphorbiaceae.
AAAAAAAAAAAAAAAAUCAAAACAUUUCAUUGAAUCGCAUUUUAUAAAAUCCAAAUAAACAACUAUGGAAAUCACACAUGCAGCACAGGCAAGAUGAACCCAGACCAGAGGUGAUUCUUCCCUGGGCAUGCACAGGGGCGAGGUGAACCAUCUGUAACAGGCGAUGAGUUGAUUCUUGAAGGGGCGAUGACCCAUUUGUAAUAGGCGAUGAGUUAAUUCUUGAGAGGACAGAGGCAUGAGUUGAUUCUCUCACAAAUGCGAUGGCCCAUCUAUCAUAGGCUGAGAGGGAGGAAUUGGAGGACAGGGUAUUAGCCAAGAACUGAAUCAAGAGCAAUAGAGAAGAGAAAAUAGGAAAACAGUGAGGAGGAGGAGGGAGGGGAAUAAUGAGAUUGGUGAGCCACACCAUCUGUCGUUAUUCACUUCUUCU